Molecule: ribosomal RNA, 2829 nt
Filed under: Triticum aestivum (bread wheat)
Lineage: Eukaryota; Viridiplantae; Streptophyta; Magnoliopsida; Poales; Poaceae
Description: partial small subunit ribosomal RNA
Source: RNAcentral
AUGGAGGGCGCGGCGCAGACCAUCGUCGGCACUGUUGGCCGGCUGUUGGGCGAGGAGUUCCGGCAGCUCCGAGCCGUUGGCCACGAGGUUGUGGAGCUGAGGGACGAGCUGGCCACCAUGAACGCCCUCCUGCGCAUGCAGGCUGAAGCCGAAGACGGCGCCGUGGACCACUUCAUCCGGGAGUGGAUGAAGCAGCUGCGCGAGCUAGCUUAUGACGCCGAGGACUGCGUUGACCUCUACAUAUUCCGCAUCAAGUGCCGUUUUGGCGACGGGUUCCUCGCCUGGUCCAAUCGCCUCCUUGUGACGUUCUUCCCUCGUCGUCGCCUUGCUGGCGAGAUCAAGUCCCUAGGAGCCCGUGCUGUCUCCAUCAGCGAGCGCCAUGCUCGCUACAGCGAGGCACUGCGCCGCUCUCCGGCUUUAGCCCUCAUGCCGACAGCGUCGGCAUCCGAGCUUGUGCUCCGCCCUGCCAACGAUCCUGAUCAGCUCGUUGGCAUCCAGGACGAGGCUAACACCCUGGCUGAAAUGGUCAAGGCGAGGAAUGACGAAGAGGUUGACAGCAAACCCAAGGUCUUCUCCAUCCUGGGUUUCGGGGGGCUCGGAAAGACGACACUGGCCAUGGAGGUGUACCGGCUGCUGGAGGCGGAGUUCGAGCACCAAGCGCAAGUAUCGGUGUCUCAGGCGUUUGACGGCACCAAGGACAUCCAAGGAUUGCUGAAGCGCGUGCUUCGACAAAUUAUCAUGGCGAAACCACAAAAUGAGAAGGAAGAGAAUAUCGGCGACAUGGAUGUGAUGAACCUGGCCAGGAAGCUCAAGGAGCAUCUCGCGGACAAGAGGUACAUUAUUGUUAUCGAUGAUGUAUGGACAACAACGGCGUGGGAUGCCAUCCGGGCCCACUUGCCAGAUAGCAAAUGCGGUAGCAGAAUCAUUGUUACCACCCGGAUAGAGACCGUGGCCAAAGAAUGCAGUUCUCCAAGUGUUUCUGAUUAUUACAUCUACCGUCUUAAGCGACUCAAGACAAAAUACUCCAAGGAGUUGUUCCUCAGUAGAGCAUUUGGUUCCAUGACAGCUACUUGCCCAAAUGAGUUGAAAGUUAUAAUGGACAAUAUCUUGAAGAAGUGUGAUGGGCUACCAUUGGCCAUUGUUAGCAUUGCCAGCCUCUUGGCGAACUAUAAAUCUCCUGAGAGAAAAAGCAGGUGGGAAACAAUUUGCAACUCCAUUGGUUCACUGAUGGAGAGCAACAGUAAACUUGAGGGGAUGAAGCAGAUACUGACACUCAGCUACAACCACCUGCCUUACCACCUGAAGGUUUGCAUGAUGUACCUUAGUAUUUUCCCAGAGGAUUAUGAGAUCAACAAGAAUCGUCUCUUGUAUAGGUGGAUUGCCGAAGGAUUGGUUGAGGAGAAGCGAGGAUUGACUCUGCUGAAGGUUGCAGAAGCCUACUACGAUGAGCUAGUGAGCAGGAGCAUGAUUAGUCCGGCAUUCUCUGUGAACUUUUAUGGGAAGGUUGAAGCAUGCCGGGUGCAUGAUAUUAUGGUUGAAGUCUUGGUCUCCAAAUCCUUGGAGGCCAACUUUGUUAGCCUAGUUGGCGGGCAGUUUGAAGGGAUGUUCUAUGACCGUGCUCGUCGCCUUUCCAUCCAAGGUGUAGAACAGGACCCUACAUCCAAGAAAAGGGCAGCAGUUGGUGGUAAGAGGAGCAACAUGGGGGGGAUGGACUUGCAGCAUGUUCGGUCACUGAGCAAUUUUGAGCUCCAAGGACAGAAGCUGCUUGAUCGGCUUCACGAGUUCACUCUGCUAAGGGUUCUUGAUCUGGAAGACUGCAAGGGGCUUGAAAACAAGCAUGUGAAGGACAUCUGCCGAUUGUACCUCCUAAAGUUUUUGAGCAUGAAAGGCACAUGUAUCAGUGUGAUUCCUAAAAAAGUCGCCAAGCUAGAGCAUUUGGAAGUGCUUGAUGUGCGUGAGACAAACAUCCGUGAGAAGAUACCAGAUACAGUGACAAAUCUGCAGAAACUUGUGCGCAUGGAUUUGUGCCACGAGGUUGAUUGGUGGGCUAUGUGGCAUUUUCCCAAGGGGCUCUCUAAAAUGAAGGCAUUGUGCGAGGUGGAACGUGCACUGGUAAGUAAUGUUGAAGUCGCCAAACAGUUUGGCCAACUAGGACAACUGUGUCGCAUAUAUCUGUUUGUUGACGCCCAGAAAGAUCCCAAGGUUCUCCAAGAGGUUGCCCUCUCCCUCAGCAAGUUGUACUCCCUCCGGUAUCUCUCCAUUGCCCGCAUGGGUGGCGAGGGCACCAAAAUGGACUUUAUCCUUGAACUUGAGACGCCGCCACGGCUCCUCCGGUACUUUUACAUCGAUGGCCAGGUUUCAAAAUUGCCUGACUGGAUGAUCGAACUAUCAUAUCUGACUGCCUUUGGCGGGAUUUGGUUGAAUUUACGUGGUGAACAAUUGUAUGGUGCCCUUUGUAAGUUGCCCAACCUGCAGACCAUCAGCCUGUGGCAGGAUUGCUACAUUGACCAAAAACUUGUUGCACGCACUGAACACAAGUUUCCGGCGUUGAAGACACUUGCCUUGUGCUCAAUUUAUUGUCACAACCCCGAAGUGAUAGAGUUCACGGAAGGAUCCAUGGAUAUGCUUGAGGAGCUUACAGUGAGGUUCUGCGAGCGUAACAGCAGGAGGAGCAUUGUUGGCAUCCAGCACUUGAAAAACCUGAAAGAGGUGCAGCUUAGAGGUAUGAGAGACGACUAUUUUCUCGACCUUGCAUUGAAGGAGCUCAAUACCGAGAGUAACAGCCGCCCCAAGGGCCAUCAAUUCAAGAUUGGAGUGAGGUACGAUUAA